GCCGAGGUGGUGAAAUUGGUAGACACGCUAUCUUGAGGGGGUAGUGCUAAAAGCAUAUGGGUUCAAAUCCCAUCCUCGGCA
RNAcentral lists this transfer RNA (81 nucleotides) under Buchnera aphidicola (Muscaphis stroyani). RNAcentral describes it as "tRNA-Leu". It matches the Rfam family "tRNA". From Rfam's summary of the family: Transfer RNA (tRNA) molecules are approximately 80 nucleotides in length. Their secondary structure includes four short double-helical elements and three loops (D, anti-codon, and T loops). Lineage: Bacteria; Pseudomonadati; Pseudomonadota; Gammaproteobacteria; Enterobacterales; Erwiniaceae. The record is from RNAcentral.